Molecule: ribosomal RNA, 1130 nt
Filed under: Staphylococcus aureus
Lineage: Bacteria; Bacillati; Bacillota; Bacilli; Caryophanales; Staphylococcaceae
Description: bacterial SSU rRNA
Rfam family: Bacterial small subunit ribosomal RNA
Source: RNAcentral
GACCGCUGGCGGCGUGCCUAAUACAUGCAAGUCGAGCGAACGGACGAGAAGCUCGCUGCUCUGAUGUUAGCGGCGGACGGGUGAGUAACACGUGGAUAACCUACCUAUAAGACUGGGAUAACUUCGGGAAACCGGAGCUAAUACCGGAUAAUAUUGUGAACCGCAUGGUUCAAAAGUGAAAGACGGUCUUGCUGUCACUUAUAGAUGGAUCCGCGCUGCAUUAGCUAGUUGGUAAGGUAACGGCUUACCAAGGCAACGAUGCAUAGCCGACCUGAGAGGGUGAUCGGCCACACUGGAACUGAGACACGGUCCAGACUCCUACGGGAGGCAGCAGUAGGGAAUCUUCCGCAAUGGGCGAAAGCCUGACGGAGCAACGCCGCGUGAGUGAUGAAGGUCUUCGGAUCGUAAAACUCUGUUAUUAGGGAAGAACAUAUGUGUAAGUAACUGUGCACAUCUUGACGGUACCUAAUCAGAAAGCCACGGCUAACUACGUGCCAGCAGCCGCGGUAAUACGUAGGUGGCAAGCGUUAUCCGGAAUUAUUGGGCGUAAAGCGCGCGUAGGCGGUUGCUUAAGUCUGAUGUGAAAGCCCACGGCUCAACCGUGGAGGGUCAUUGGAAACUGGAAAACUUGAGUGCAGAAGAGGAAAGUGGAAUUCCAUGUGUAGCGGUGAAAUGCGCAGAGAUAUGGAGGAACACCAGUGGCGAAGGCGACUGCCUGGUCUGUAACUGACGCUGAUGUGCGAAAGCGUGGGGAUCAAACAGGAUUAGAUACCCUGGUAGUCCACGCCGUAAACGAUGAGUGCUAAGUGUUAGGGGGUCUCCGCCGCUUAGUGCUGCAGCUAACGCAUUAAGCACUCCGCCUGGGGAGUACGACCGCAAGGUUGAAACUCACAGGAAUCGACGGGGACCCGCACAAGCGGUGGAGCAUGUGGUGUAAUUCGAAGCAACGCGAAGAACCUUACCAAAUCUCGACAUCCUGUGACAACUCUAGAGAUAGAGCCUUCGCCUGCGGGGGACAAAGUGACAGGUGGUGCAUGGUUGUCGUCAGCUCGUGUCGUGAGAUGUUGCGUGACGUCGCGCAACGAGCGCAACCCGUACGCGUAGUGGCCAUCAUCAGGUCGGGCACUCUA